This is a non-coding RNA of Endozoicomonas montiporae, 55 nucleotides long. The record is from Rfam. NCBI's taxonomy places the organism in Bacteria, Pseudomonadati, Pseudomonadota, Gammaproteobacteria, Oceanospirillales, Endozoicomonadaceae.
GGCGGCGGACCCGCCGAAGUCGGCUGUCGGAAGCAGGCUUCAAACCACCUCAAGU